Molecule: unclassified non-coding RNA, 239 nt
Filed under: Hevea brasiliensis (rubber tree)
Lineage: Eukaryota; Viridiplantae; Streptophyta; Magnoliopsida; Malpighiales; Euphorbiaceae
Source: RNAcentral
CACCAAACAUUGUAUGAGAGAAUACAAUCAGCAAAAAUUAAUUCAUCAUCUGCUGAAAGGAAAUGGAGAGCUUCAAAUGAUACAAGUUCAACUGACCUAUAUGCCAGGUUUAUGAGUGCUCUUUACAACUUACUUGAUGGUUCUUCUGAUAAUACGAAAUUUGAGGAUGAUUGCCGAGCUAUUAUUGGAACCCAAUCAUAUGUUCUAUUCACAUUGGACAAGUUGAUAUAUAAGCUUGU